CCUGAGAAAUGGCUACCACUUCUACGGAAGGCAGCAGGCGCGCAAAUUACUCAAUCCCAAUACGGGGAAGUAGUGACAAUAAAUAUCAAUACCUAUCCUUUUUGGAGGGCAAUUGAAAUGAACACAAAUUAAAACUCUUAAUUAACACAAUUGGAGGGCAAGUCUGGUGCCAGCAGCCGCGGUAAUUCCAGCUCCAAUAGCAUAUACUAAAGUUGUUGCAGUUAAAAAGCUCGUAGUUGAAGUUAAGGGUUUAUCGGGCUAAAAGUUAUUUGCCGCUUUUGUGGUUAAAUUCAACUCCGGUAUUCCUUUUCUUAAUAGUUCAGCUUCUAUUAUCUUUGAUAGUAGUUGUUUGGGCAUUUCACUGUGAGAAAAUUGUGGUGUUUAAAGCAGGCGUCUCGCCUGAUCUUUUGCAGCAUGGUAUGAUGAAACAUGACAUUUUACGCUAUUGGUUUGCGUCUAAAGUGUAAUGAUUAAUAGG
RNAcentral lists this ribosomal RNA (478 nucleotides) under Dictyostelium giganteum. Its description in RNAcentral is "SSU rRNA". It matches the Rfam family "Eukaryotic small subunit ribosomal RNA", at positions 395 to 876 of the family's 1831-position model. Lineage: Eukaryota; Evosea; Eumycetozoa; Dictyosteliales; Dictyosteliaceae. The record is from RNAcentral.